This 352-nucleotide ribosomal RNA is filed under the name uncultured bacterium. RNAcentral's name for it is "partial 16S ribosomal RNA". It matches the Rfam family "Bacterial small subunit ribosomal RNA", at positions 338 to 682 of the family's 1533-position model. The record is from RNAcentral.
CCUACGGGAGGCAGCAGUAGGGAAUCGUCCACAAUGGGCGAAAGCCUGAUGGAGCAACGCCGCGUGGGUGAAGAAGGUCUUCGGAUCGUAAAACCCUGUUGUUAGAGAAGAAAGUGCGUGAGAGUAACUGUUCACGUGUCGACGGUAUCUAACCAGAAAGCCACGGCUAACUACGUGCCAGCAGCCGCGGUAAUACGUAGGUGGCAAGCGUUAUCCGGAUUUAUUGGGCGUAACGGGAACGCAGGCGGUCUUUUAAGUCUGAGGUGAAAGCCUUCGGCUUAACCGGAGUCGGGCUUUGGAAACUGGGAGACUUGCGUGCAGUCGAGGUGAGUGGAACUCCCUGUGUAGCGGU